Transfer RNA from Camelus ferus (Wild Bactrian camel), 72 nucleotides. It matches the Rfam family "tRNA". From Rfam's summary of the family: Transfer RNA (tRNA) molecules are approximately 80 nucleotides in length. Their secondary structure includes four short double-helical elements and three loops (D, anti-codon, and T loops). Lineage: Eukaryota; Metazoa; Chordata; Mammalia; Artiodactyla; Camelidae. The record is from Rfam.
GGGUAUAUAGCUCAGUGGUAGAGUGUGUACUUAGCACGCACAAGGUCCUAGGUUCAAUUCUCAGUACCUCCA